GCCACGGACACACCCUUCAACGAAAACUCAAGAUCUUCGCAAUUUAACAUCGCAAAGGCCUUUAGAUUAGGGAUACCAAAUUUGGUGUUGAUCUGAAUAAAUCUCUAGGAGGAGUUCGUUAAAAUACAAGGCAUGCAAAUGACAAAAAUGAUGCAAAAUUUGCUCAUAAAAUUAAAAAUAACCGACUUCCUGUUGGGUUUCGGAUAUUGCUCCAAGAGUCUUUUUUGUAGGUACUGAUGCUUUACAUAUGUGUGCCAAUUUUCGUGUAUGUACGUGAAACACAGCUUGAGGGCUGUUGAUUUUUUUACGAUAGGUGGCGCUGUCGAGCCAUUUUGCCACACCCUCUUCUGAAACCUAUAUCAGACGUAAAUUUUCACCAGGUUUGACGCGUCUGCAAAGUUUCAGGACUUUUCGAGCAUGUUUAGGCCCUCAAAAAUGCGAUUCAUUUUGGAGAAGAAGAAGAAGAAGAAGAAGAAGAAGAAGAAGAAGAAGAAUAAUAAUAAUUAAAGCUGCAAGCAGCGAUGAACGGGCCCUCGCACCCGGGCUCACUGCCACCGGGUGACUUUUGUAAAACAGCGAACGGCGAGAAAUAUGCGUUUAAUGUGGUAAAUAUAAGAGGAAUAUGUCAAAGUCAUUUAUAUGUGCCAAUCUUCCUGCUGCCAGCUGGUGGCGCUAUGACUAUAACUGGAUUUUGGCAUGUACAUUUCUUCAGUCCAGUACUUUUAUCAAGGACAUGAAAUUUAGUGCAGAUUGAACAUGGAAUGUUUGAGUUAGUAUAAAGCAUGUUGUGUCCUAUUGACAACAGGUGGCGCUAUGAUUAUAACUGAAUAUUGGCCUUUAGAUAUCUUCAGGCCAUGACUCUUUCCAAAUAUUUGAAGUUUGGUGCAGAUUGGACAUUGCAUGUUUAAGUUAGUGCAAAACAAGCCAUUUCCUGUUGCCAGCAGGUGGCGCUA
Long non-coding RNA from Cyprinus carpio carpio, 953 nucleotides. NCBI's taxonomy places the organism in Eukaryota, Metazoa, Chordata, Actinopteri, Cypriniformes, Cyprinidae. The record is from Ensembl.